CUCGAACUCACGGACCGCGAGAUCAUGACCUGAGCCGAAGUCAGCCGCUUAACCGACUGAGCCACCCCGGCGCCCCCCCCCCCCCCCUUCACCGUUUUUAAGUGGGUCGUUCAGUGGUAUUGUGCGGCCGCCACCACCGUCCGUGUCCAAAGCGCUUUCGCUCUUUGCAGAACAAACCCUGUCCCCGUUGAACACGCCUGCCCCCACCGCCUACUCCGUCUUUGUGAGUCUGAAGACCCCGGGACCCGACGGAAGCACAAUAUACUACAGCGUCUGUCUUACCUCACCGAGCGCCACCCAUGUGGUGUCAGGUUUCCUCUCUAAGGCUGACAUUCUGUGUGCACGGGCCACCUUUUGUUCCUCCGCUCGCUUGUCAGUGGAUACUUGGGUGGCUCCCACGUCCUGGCCGUUGGGAACCACGCUGCCGUGAACGUGGGGCGAAAGCAUUUCUUCGAGUGCUUCGUUCCGUUCUUCUGGUCACGUACCCGGCCGUGGAAUUGCUGGGUCACCCGGGAAUCCGUUUAAGUUUCUGAGGAGCUGCCAGACUGUUUCACAGCGAUGGCACCAUGUUGCCUUCUCAUAAACUGGCAUCCCUACGUUGUUCGCGUGUGAAACCACACCAGGGCCUGGGAGCCACCGUUGCCGGCCGCAGGGCACAGUCACAGACAGCAGAGGCCAGCAGGUCCUUUGUGGAUGACACCCCCCCGGCCCAAGGAGGACCCAGAAGCAGCAGGGGCAGGAACCAGCGCAAGAGGGGAAAUUGUUCCCCCUCGCCGGGCGGGCGCUGCCCCUGGUAACUUUCCUAACCCGGCUCCCGGCCAGCCCCGCCCCCUGAUCUCAUGCUGGCCCUCGGAGCCGGGCUUGGGUUUCUGACCCCGGCUUUCCUCCUCCUCUCUCGGGAGUCAGGUUCUGUUUACAAGGCUUUCCUCCUCCUCUCCCUGGAGUCAGGUUCUGUUUACAACUGAAAGCAACCGUGCCAAACUGGAGGCAGGAGCUCCCGGAGGAAAGAGAACUGUUCCCUCCGCGGUCGCUGCCCUCCGUCUGCUUCCCUGGCCUCGAGCUGAGACCGUGAGCAGCCGUGUCACCGCCCUGUUUCCACUCCGGCCGGGCUGUGACCAGCAGCAGCGGGGAGGCGGGCAUCGCAGGCACCGGCAGUUUGGGAGUGUGGUGGAUGGGCUGGCAGCCCACCAGGCUGUUUGCCUCCCGGCAGAGAAGCAGACCCUGGCUGCCCUUUGUGGGGAGGCCCCCCAGACCCUCCCGCCUGCCUCUCCUGGUCCCUCCCUUACGCGGAGGCCUCCAGCACCCCCAGGGGCAACGUCUUCUCCGGUGUGGAGACCAGGCCGUGGGCUCUGGGUGCAGAGGCCACUUGAGUCAUGCUCCUGAAAGCCCUUGUCUUCACGCACACGAUACGUGACAACCAGGAGUGUCCCUUGGCCUGGUGAGCCGGGGUGUAAGGUGACGCCUCGGGCCUGCAGAACGAUGGGGUUUCGGAGGUGAGCAACCCACCUGCCCGCAAGCCCACGACGUGGGUCCUGAGGCCGUCCCCAGACUCCAGCCUGUCUGCUCCAGAGCUGACCCUAGGUUCCAUCCCAUGUACUUCCUGCUGUCACUGCUGUGUAGCAGUGGACAUCCCUUACCGGUCACCUCCAGAGGGCCGGCCACUGCAAACACUUUACCUCCAUUCUCGCACAGACCCUGCAGGUACACAUCAUGAAUCCUGCUGAUAGGGGAGGCCCCUGGGGCUCAGAGAGGCCGAGGACUUUGGCCCGGGCCACACAGCUCCAACUGGCUGAGUCAGGGUGGGUGUGAGGCCGGAGCCGCCGGUCCCCCCCAACCCACACUCCCCCCCGCUUAGCCCUUGGGGGAGAAUAACAACCUACAAUCUUCCACUCUUCGCACCUAUCGCGACUCUAUUCCGCACCUGUGGGUUAAGGCAAAAUGGGUUUUUGAGUGGCGUGAAAUUAUUUCGAAAAAAUCGUGUUUAGUUCCAAAAAAUGGGAAAGUAUCAGAGGAAGUUUGAUUCUGUUGCUUCUCUACCUUGACUGAAAUCUGGCGGGUUUUUCUUCAUUAACUCUUUGGAAUUUAUGUGGUUGUAAAUAAAUAAAUUAUACUUGUAUUCACUCAUAGGAUCCACAAACAUACCGAACUCAUUUGUUUCUAUGAUACAUGUAGAUAUUUACAUGAUAUAUAAAUGUACUGUUUGUAAACAUA
Leopardus geoffroyi (Geoffroy's cat) is the source of this 2211-nucleotide long non-coding RNA. RefSeq lists it as uncharacterized. Lineage: Eukaryota; Metazoa; Chordata; Mammalia; Carnivora; Felidae. The record is from RefSeq and is a predicted model, not a curated record. The transcript has 2 exons.